This 497-nucleotide ribosomal RNA is filed under the name uncultured bacterium. RNAcentral describes it as "partial 16S ribosomal RNA". It matches the Rfam family "Bacterial small subunit ribosomal RNA", at positions 28 to 507 of the family's 1533-position model. The record is from RNAcentral.
GAUGAACGCUGGCGGCGUGCCUAAUACAUGCAAGUCGAGCGAACGGACGAGAAGCUUGCUUCUCUAAUGUUAGCGGCGGACGGGUGAGUAACACGUGGAUAACCUACCUAUAAGACUGGGAUAACUUCGGGAAACCGUAGCUAAUACUGGAUAAUAUUUUGAACCGCAUGGUUCAAAAGUGAAAGACGGUCUUGCUGUCACUUAUAGAUGGAUCCGCGCUGCAUUAGCUAGUUGGUAAGGUAACGGCUUACCAAGGCAACGAUGCAUAGCCGACCUGAGAGGGUGAUCGGCCACACUGGAACUUAGACACGGUCCAGACUCCUACGGGAGGCAGCAGUAGGGAAUCUUCCGCAAUGGGCGAAAGCCUGACGGAGCAACGCCGCGUGAGUGAUGAAGGUCUUCGGAUCGUAAAACUCUGUUAUUAGGGAAGAACAUAUGUGUAAGUAACUGUGCACAUCUUGACGGUACCUAAUCAGAAAGCCACGGCUAACUACGUG